RNAcentral lists this ribosomal RNA (497 nucleotides) under uncultured bacterium. Its description in RNAcentral is "partial 16S ribosomal RNA". It matches the Rfam family "Bacterial small subunit ribosomal RNA", at positions 28 to 507 of the family's 1533-position model. The record is from RNAcentral.
GAUGAACGCUGGCGGCGUGCCUAAUACAUGCAAGUCGAGCGAACGGACGAGAAGCUUGCUUCUCUGAUGUUAGCGGCGGACGGGUGAGUAACACGUGGAUAACCUACCUAUAAGACUGGGAUAACUUCGGGAAACCGGAGCUAAUACCGGAUGAUAUUUUGAACCGCAUGGUUCAAAAGUGAAAGACGGUCUUGCUGUCACUUAUAGAUGGAUCCGCGCUGCAUUAGCUAGUUGGUAAGGUAACGGCUUACCAAGGCAACGAUGCAUAGCCGACCUGAGAGGGUGAUCGGCCACACUGGAACUGAGACACGGUCCAGACUCCUACGGGAGGCAGCAGUAGGGAAUCUUCCGCAAUGGUCGAAAGCCUGACGGAGCAACGCCGCGUGAGUGAUGAAGGUCUUCGGAUCGUAAAACUCUGUUAUUAGGGAAGAAAAUAUGUGUAAGUAACUGUGCACAUCUUGACGGUACCUAAUCAGAAAGCCACGGCUAACUACGUG